This 360-nucleotide RNase P RNA is filed under the name Chloroflexota bacterium. RNAcentral describes it as "Chloroflexi bacterium (bioreactor metagenome) RNase P RNA component class A". It matches the Rfam family "Bacterial RNase P class A". Rfam says of the family: Ribonuclease P (RNase P) is a ubiquitous endoribonuclease, found in archaea, bacteria and eukarya as well as chloroplasts and mitochondria. Its best characterised activity is the generation of mature 5'-ends of tRNAs by cleaving the 5'-leader elements of precursor-tRNAs. The record is from RNAcentral. Lineage: Bacteria; Bacillati; Chloroflexota.
CGGGUUGGUUGGACGGUUGCGCCUCGGCUUUGGUCGGGGUGAGGAAAGUCCGCGCUCCAUAGGGUACGGUGCUGGCUAACUGCCAGGCGGAGUGAUCCGACGGCAAAGUGCAACAGAGAGACAGAGUGCCCCAGACGAUGGGGUGAGGGUGAAACGGUGCGGUAAGAGCGCACCAGCGUGGGUGGUAACACCAACGGCUAGGCAAACCCCACCGGGAGCAAAACCAAGCAGAGGUCAGGGGCGACCCGUCCCGUUAUGAGCCUCGGGUAGGUUGCAGGAGGUGUCGAGUAAUCGCCAUCCCAGAUAGAUGACCGUCGCCCAUCUUGGGUACAGAACGCGGCUUAUAGACUGACCCGGAUA